Molecule: ribosomal RNA, 781 nt
Filed under: uncultured Lactobacillus sp.
Lineage: Bacteria; Bacillati; Bacillota; Bacilli; Lactobacillales; Lactobacillaceae
Description: bacterial SSU rRNA
Rfam family: Bacterial small subunit ribosomal RNA
Source: RNAcentral
GACGAACGCUGGCGGCGUGCCUAAUACAUGCAAGUCGAGCGAACAGAAGCAGCAGAAUUACUUCGGUAAGGACGCUGUGGAAGUUAGCGGCGGAUGGGUGAGUAACACGUGGGUAACCUACCCUUAAGACUGGGAUACCACUUGGAAACAGGUGCUAAUACCGGAUAGGAGUAUGAGCUGCAUGGCUUAUACUUUAAAGGCGGCGAAAGCUGUCACUAAAGGAUGGACCCGCGGUGCAUUAGCUAGUUGGUAAGGUAACGGCUUACCAAGGCGACGAUGCAUAGCCGAGUUGAGAGACUGAUCGGCCACAUUGGGACUGAGACACGGCCCAAACUCCUACGGGAGGCAGCAGUAGGGAAUCUUCCACAAUGGACGCAAGUCUGAUGGAGCAACGCCGCGUGAGUGAAGAAGGUUUUCGGAUCGUAAAGCUCUGUUGUUGGUGAAGAAGGAUAUAGGUAGUAACUGGCCUAUAUUUGACGGUAAUCAACCAGAAAGUCACGGCUAACUACGUGCCAGCAGCCGCGGUAAUACGUAGGUGGCAAGCGUUGUCCGGAUUUAUUGGGCGUAAAGCGAGCGCAGGCGGAGAAAUAAGUCUGAUGUGAAAGCCCACGGCUCAACCGUGGAACUGCAUCGGAAACUGUUUUUCUUGAGUGCAGAAGAGGAGAGUGGAACUCCAUGUGUAGCGGUGGAAUGCGUAGAUAUAUGGAAGAACACCAGUGGCGAAGGCGGCUCUCUGGUCUGCAACUGACGCUGAGGCUCGAAAGCAUGGGUAGCGAACAGG